GACGAACGCUGGCGGCGUGCUUAACACAUGCAAGUCGAACGGAAAGGCCCUGCUUUUGUGGGGUUCUCGAGUGGCGAAGGCGGGAGUAUCACGUGAGUAACCUGCCCUUGACUUUGGGAUAACUUCAGGAAACUGGGGCUAAUACCGGAUAGGAUCUCCUGCUGCAUGGUGGGGGUUGGAAAGUCUCGGCGGGUGGGGAUGGACGCGCGGCUUAUCAGCUUGUUGGUUGGGUAGUGGCUUACCAAGGCUUUGACGGGUAGCCGGCCUGAGAGGGUGACCGGCGACAUUGGGACUGCGAUAGGGCGCAGACGCGUACGGGAGGCAGCAGUGGGGAAUCUUGCACAAUGGGCGGAAGCCUGAUGCAGCAACGCCGCGUGCGGGAUGACGGCCUUCGGGUUGAAAACAGCUUUCGCCUGUGACGAAGCGUGAGUGACGGUAAUGGGUAAAGAAGCACCGGCUAACUACGUG
RNAcentral lists this ribosomal RNA (468 nucleotides) under uncultured bacterium. Its description in RNAcentral is "partial 16S ribosomal RNA". It matches the Rfam family "Bacterial small subunit ribosomal RNA", at positions 28 to 507 of the family's 1533-position model. The record is from RNAcentral.